Sinocyclocheilus rhinocerous is the source of this 124-nucleotide long non-coding RNA. RefSeq lists it as uncharacterized. The transcript has 3 exons. NCBI's taxonomy places the organism in Eukaryota, Metazoa, Chordata, Actinopteri, Cypriniformes, Cyprinidae. The record is from RefSeq and is a predicted model, not a curated record.
AGCUAUGUCAAAGCAACCUUAUUUACAGAAAAUGUAUAUUUGAUACAUACUGCUAUCUUUAAAUUAAUCACUCGUAUAAAGUUUUGGUCAUAUGACCCACUCAUAAUUAUUUAUUUAACAUUUU